RNAcentral lists this ribosomal RNA (475 nucleotides) under uncultured Geobacter sp. RNAcentral describes it as "bacterial SSU rRNA". It matches the Rfam family "Bacterial small subunit ribosomal RNA", at positions 73 to 526 of the family's 1533-position model. Lineage: Bacteria; Pseudomonadati; Thermodesulfobacteriota; Desulfuromonadia; Geobacterales; Geobacteraceae. The record is from RNAcentral.
UCAGAGCUUGCUCUGAUGAAAGUGGCGCACGGGUGAGUAACGCGUGGAUAACCUGCCCUGGUAUCUGGGAUAACAUCUCGAAAGGGGUGCUAAUACCGGAUAAGCCCACGGGACCUUCGGGUUCUGCGGGAAAAGGAGGCCUCUAUUUAUAAGCUUCCGUACCAUGAUGGGUCCGCGUACCAUUAGCUAGUUGGUGGGGUAAUGGCCUACCAAGGCGACGAUGGUUAGCUGGUYUGAGAGGAUGAUCAKCCACMCYGGAACUGAGACACGGUCCAGACUCCUACAGGAGGCAGCAGUGGGGAAUUUUGCGCAAUGGGGGAAACCCYGACGCAGCAACGCCGCGUGAGUGAUGAAGGCUUUCGGGUCGUAAAGCUCUGUCAGAGGGGAAGAAAUGGGUCGUGCUAAUAUCGCGACUUCUUGACGGUACCCUCAAAGGAAGCACCGGMKAACUCCGUGCCAGCAGCCGCGGUAAUAC